CUCAUAGUUAGCUCAGUUGGUAGAGCGCUCCACUUGAAAUGGAGGGGUCCCUGGUUCGAUACCAGGACCCGACA
Molecule: transfer RNA, 74 nt
Filed under: Ixodes scapularis (black-legged tick)
Lineage: Eukaryota; Metazoa; Arthropoda; Arachnida; Ixodida; Ixodidae
Description: tRNA-Ser
Rfam family: tRNA (bases 7-68)
About the family: Transfer RNA (tRNA) molecules are approximately 80 nucleotides in length. Their secondary structure includes four short double-helical elements and three loops (D, anti-codon, and T loops). Further hydrogen bonds mediate the characteristic L-shaped molecular structure. tRNAs have two regions of fundamental functional importance: the anti-codon, which is responsible for specific mRNA codon recognition, and the 3' end, to which the tRNAs corresponding amino acid is attached (by aminoacyl-tRNA synthetases). tRNAs cope with the degeneracy of the genetic code in two manners: having more than one tRNA (with a specific anti-codon) for a particular amino acid; and 'wobble' base-pairing, i.e. permitting non-standard base-pairing at the 3rd anti-codon position.
Source: RNAcentral